Molecule: ribosomal RNA, 301 nt
Filed under: uncultured bacterium
Lineage: Bacteria
Description: partial 16S ribosomal RNA
Rfam family: Bacterial small subunit ribosomal RNA
Source: RNAcentral
CAGCAGCCGCGGUAAUACGUAGGUGGCAAGCGUUGUCCGGAAUUACUGGGCGUAAAGCGUGCGCAGGCGGUGAUGUAAGACAGUUGUGAAAUCCCCGGGCUCAACCUGGGAACUGCAUCUGUGACUGCAUCGCUGGAGUGCGGCAGAGGGGGAUGGAAUUCCGCGUGUAGCAGUGAAAUGCGUAGAUAUGCGGAGGAACACCGAUGGCGAAGGCAAUCCCCUGGGCCUGCACUGACGCUCAUGCACGAAAGCGUGGGGAGCAAACAGGAUUAGAGACCCCAGUAGUCCCUGUCUCUUAUAC